AGAGUCACUCCUACGGGAGGCAGCAGUGGGGAAUUUUGCGCAAUGGGGGAAACCCUGAUCCAGCCAUGCCGCGUGUGUGAAGAAGGCCUUCGGGUUGUAAAGCACUUUCGGCCGGAACGAAAUCGCGCGGGCGAAUAUCCAGCGUGGAUGACGGUACCGGAAGAAGAAGCACCGGCUAACUACGUGCCAGCAGCCGCGGUAAUACGUAGGGUGCGAGCGUUAAUCGGAAUUACUGGGCGUAAAGCGUGCGCAGGCGGUUCUCCAAGUCCGUUGUGAAAGCCCCGGGCUCAACCUGGGAAUGGCAGUGGAAACUAGGGGACUGGAAUCUGGCAGAGGGGGGUGGAAUGCCGCGUGUAGCAGUGAAAUGCGUAGAUAUCAGGAGGAAUACCGAUGGCGAAGGCAGGUCUCUGGGCUGACACUGACGCUCAUGCACGAAAGCGUGGGGAGCGAACGGGAUUAGAUACCCCGGUAGUCCACGCCCUAAACUAUGGAUGCUAGGCAUUAGUGGCAUCGACCCCCCUAGUGCCGAAGUUAACACGUUAAGCAUCCCGCCUGGGGAGUACGGUCGCAAGGCUGAAACUUAAAGGAAUUGACG
This 595-nucleotide ribosomal RNA is filed under the name uncultured beta proteobacterium. RNAcentral's name for it is "bacterial SSU rRNA". It matches the Rfam family "Bacterial small subunit ribosomal RNA", at positions 329 to 915 of the family's 1533-position model. The record is from RNAcentral. Lineage: Bacteria; Pseudomonadati; Pseudomonadota; Betaproteobacteria.